Mesocricetus auratus (golden hamster) is the source of this 1869-nucleotide long non-coding RNA. RefSeq lists it as uncharacterized. NCBI's taxonomy places the organism in Eukaryota, Metazoa, Chordata, Mammalia, Rodentia, Cricetidae. The transcript is spliced from 2 exons. The record is from RefSeq and is a predicted model, not a curated record.
GUUGGAGGUGAACGUCCCUGGAGUUCCUUUAAGGAAUAAACACCCGCACCAAGUCCCAAAGUAAUCAGUCACUAGACCUUUGGGACUUGGAACAGACCCAGGAGAACCCAGAAACUCUGGAGCACCAAGUGAACUCCCUCGAGGAAGACACAGGAGGCAAAGGUCUGAGAGUUGCAGGGGCGCACUGGGAACCCAGGACUGGAGGCCGGGAUUAGGUCCCAGGUUGAAAGGUCCUAACUGAUGACUGUAAGAAGGAAGACCUUGGACUGGAGAGGCACUGUGAGGCGGGGUCCCAGGUUGGAGGCACGCAUUAGAACAGGGUCGAGGGACGGAAGGGUUCUGUGAGUCGGGGUCCCGGGACAGAGGGGGCGUUUGGAACCAGCUCCUGGACUGAAGGAGCAUGUUUGGGGUUCCCAGAACUAAAGGCGCGCGGCAGGGGAGCGAUCUCAGACUGGAAGAGUAAGACAGGAACGCCUGACGGCACCCGGACCUCGGUGAACUGCAGGGACGCGGGAGAGAGGGGUGGCCGCUCGACCUGGGGUGACCACAGGAAGAGAGGCACAGCCACGGAUCCCAGGGUCCCCACGCCUCGUGGCCGCCCCCUCCCCGCGCCCUGGCCCGCGCGCGCUCCCAGACCCUACCUGUCCUCGCUAGCGGUGAUCACGCCGUCCUCCUUGGGGAUGAGCAGCGCCGCCGUGACGGCGUCCUGGUGGCCCUCGAUCUUGCUCAGCAGCACCGGGCGGCUGCUCUGCGGCCUGGAGUGGAUCUCGGCCGCCAUGUUCGCGCCGCGGCCUCCCCCGCGGGCGGCCCAUCAGCUGACCGCCGGGCGGGGACGCGCCGGUUGCUUGGGGAAACCGGGCCGCGUGUGCGCCACGCUGCUGUAAGCUCGCGAGCACCGCCGCAGCACCCCGUAAUGCCUAGAAAAGCCGCGCAGAGAUAGUUCUGUGACCUGGGAGACAACUCCAGAAAAGCCAGGACCAUGAGGAAGAUUAAAAAGCCAAACCAUGCCGGGUGGUGGCGAUGCACGCCUUUCAUCCCAGCACUCGGGAAGCAGAGGCAGGCGGAUCUCUGUAAGUUCGAGACCAGCCUGGUCUACAGAGUGAGUUCCAGGGCAGCCACAGAGAAACCCUGUUUCAAAAAAACAAACAAACAAACAAAAAUUGCUACUGAUCUGAGCAGUAGCAGAGCAUAGGCACCUGCCCUUCAAACAAUACUACAGGGCAUCCAGUGGAAGAAUACUUACUUAGCAUGUACAAGGACCUGAGUGUUGGGUGGCAGUUUCCUCUGAGGUUAAGAGUGUCCAUCUGCAAGGGAUUUUCGGUAAGAUGGGGGAUGUUUACAGGGAAAUAAAACAGGGUGUCCUAACGGGAGAGGAAAAAUGGCAGCCAUCAGGGAAGCUCGCUGAGCUCAAGAAGUGAACAACUCAAAGUAGCUUGAGGAAGUCCCUGAAACUGACCAGCUUCUCUAGGCUCCUCUCUUCUUCCCUUCCUAAGCAUAAAGAAGCCGUAAAAACGAGGGACACACUUGGAUAAGCCAAGCUACCUAGAAGACUCUCAGAUAAACUGACCUGCCUGGAAGGAGCAGAGCUGUGAGAAGAAAUAGAAAUCAGCCAGCACAGUACCUGGAAGAUACACAGACCAGCCAGCCAAUUCCUGUCAACUAACCUACCUAAAAAGGGCACUCUCCACCUGCAGAACUGCCUGCAGCCUGUGUAGUGCAAUCCAGGUUUCCAGCUUUCAUGAGUUGUCACCAUGCUCAAGUAAGCUUUGGGUGACACAACUGUCCUUUUAGUCAUUUCUGCUCCUGGAAAUAGCCCCUUACCCAUAUUCCCUUGUAAGUAACCACAAUAAAACUCAUUCGUUCACCAUA